UUGGGAAGGGGGAAGGGAGGGAACUAAUUCUGUGUUCUCUUGCCAACACUGACAAAGGUCUGGUUGUCAAUGAUACCUUUACAGCUAAAUUUACUCCAGAGUGACACGAACAGGUGCACCUCGGCCUGCCAGACACUUGUGCUGAGGGAUCACGCAUCUCACGGCCUGACGAUCAAGGGGGCAAAGCCUCGGUCUUCAUAGAAAAGGAGAGGAGGCAAACGCAGCCCAAACGGGGGGUUUCUCUUCAAAGCCAGCUGGUCUGGCUUUAUUCUACAGGAAUUUUUUUACCUGUCAGAGUUUGGACAACAAAACCCUCAGCAGGUGCUGACGGGGACAACUUUCUGGAGAAGCAAGAAAGGCACUGGUGCCAAAGAUUUGUAAACUGUGAAGUAACUCUAUGAAGAGAUGAAGUAAAGAAUGGAAAGCAAAUGACGGUAAUGGUAAAGAAGAGUAUGUGGUGAGUGCUUACAUUUAUUUUGUCAUCUACUACGAAGAUAUCAUAAAGGU
This 507-nucleotide long non-coding RNA is filed under the name Fukomys damarensis (Damara mole-rat). RNAcentral's name for it is "lncRNA (ENSFDAG00000022430.1)". The record is from RNAcentral. Lineage: Eukaryota; Metazoa; Chordata; Mammalia; Rodentia; Bathyergidae.